RNAcentral lists this ribosomal RNA (905 nucleotides) under uncultured bacterium. Its description in RNAcentral is "bacterial SSU rRNA". It matches the Rfam family "Bacterial small subunit ribosomal RNA", at positions 8 to 905 of the family's 1533-position model. The record is from RNAcentral.
AGAGUUUGAUCCUGGCUCAGAUUGAACGCUGGCGGAAUGCUUUACACAUGCAAGUCGAACGGCAGCACGGGAGCUUGCUCCUGGUGGCGAGUGGCGAACGGGUGAGUAAUGCGUCGGAACGUACCGAGUAAUGGGGGAUAACGCAGCGAAAGCUGUGCUAAUACCGCAUACGCCCUGAGGGGGAAAGUGGGGGAUCGCAAGACCUCACGUUAUUCGAGCGGCCGACGUCUGAUUAGCUAGUUGGUGGGGUAAAGGCCUACCAAGGCGACGAUCAGUAGCGGGUCUGAGAGGAUGAUCCGUCACACUGGGACUGAGACACGGCCCAGACUCCUACGGGAGGCAGCAGUGGGGAAUUUUGGACAAUGGGGGCAACCCUGAUCCAGCCAUUCCGCGUGAGUGAAGAAGGCCUUCGGGUUGUAAAGCUCUUUCAGCUGGAACGAAACGGUACGCUCUAACAUAGCGUGCUAAUGACGGUACCGGCAGAAGAAGCACCGGCUAACUACGUGCCAGCAGCCGCGGUAAUACGUAGGGUGCGAGCGUUAAUCGGAAUUACUGGGCGUAAAGCGUGCGCAGGCGGAUUGUUAAGCAAGACGUGAAAGCCCCGGGCUUAACCUGGGAAUGGCGUUUUGAACUGGCAGUCUAGAGUGCGUCAGAGGGGGGUGGAAUUCCACGUGUAGCAGUGAAAUGCGUAGAGAUGUGGAGGAACACCAAUGGCGAAGGCAGCCCCCUGGGAUGACACUGACGCUCAUGUACGAAAGCGUGGGUAGCAAACAGGAUUAGAUACCCUGGUAGUCCACGCCCUAAACGAUGUCAACUGGUUGUUGGGGGAGUGAAAUCCCUUAGUAACGAAGCUAACGCGUGAAGUUGACCGCCUGGGGAGUACGGUCGCAAGAUUAAAACUCAAA